Dromaius novaehollandiae (emu) is the source of this 266-nucleotide long non-coding RNA. RefSeq lists it as uncharacterized. The transcript has 3 exons. NCBI's taxonomy places the organism in Eukaryota, Metazoa, Chordata, Aves, Casuariiformes, Dromaiidae. The record is from RefSeq and is a predicted model, not a curated record.
UGUCUUUCUCUCCCCACCAAGGAUGUGAGCUGAGCAUCGUCUUUGAGGCAAAAUGCUUCACCUGAUCAGAUCUAGAUUGCACCUUGGCUGCAGAAGGCAACUCUGGGCACAGUACCUGGCCAAGCCAGCGUUCAGGCUGCCGUCGCUGCCGUGCUGUGUAACGCACCAAAGGGCAGGAUAUUCCAGUGAUGUGCAGAUGGAAUCCACCUCCUUUGUCAGAAAUAUCUUCAAUGGGCAGCUUGUACCUGACAAUGUUUUCCCUUUCC